CCCCCCCCCGGGGCUUUACCACUUUUUUUUUUUUCCGGGGUUUUUAUUUUUUGUGGUGGGAAAUUUUGGAGAGGGGGAAAAAACAAUUUUUUCCCCCCCGGGAAAACCAGGUUUUUGGCCCACUGGUUUACCGCCCAAAGCUUUUUUUGGGGGGAACCCUUAUAGAAAAUACCCCAAAGGUUUUGCCUUCCAAACGCGUUUGGGGAGCUUUUCCCCAUAUGGUUCGCCCUGCCAGGCGGCCCGGGAAUUUCACUAAGGAUUUUUGGUCAAUUUAGAGGAAAGUAAAAGUCGUAACCAGGUUUUCCGUAGGUGAACCUGCGGAAGGAUCAUAAAAGAAAUUUAAUAUUUUGAAAAUGGAUUUUUUUGUUUGGGCAAGAGCAUGAGAGCUUUUACUGGGCAAGAAGACAAGAGAUGGAGAGUCCAGCCGGGCCUGCGCUUAAGCGCGCGGUCUUGCUAGGCUUGUAAGUUUCUUUCUUGCUAUUCCAAACGGUGAGAGAUUUCUGUGCUUUUGUUAUAGGACAAUUAAAACCGUUUCAAUACAACACACUGUGGAGUUUUCAUAUCUUUGCAACUUUUUCUUUGGGCAUUCGAGCAAUCGGGGCCCAGAGGUAACAAACACAAACAAUUUUAUCUAUUCAUUAAAUUUUUGUCAAAAACAAGAAUUUUCGUAACUGGAAAUUUUAAAAUAUUAAAAACUUUCAACAACGGAUCUCUUGGUUCUCGCAUCGAUGAAGAACGCAGCGAAAUGCGAUACGUAAUGUGAAUUGCAGAAUUCCGUGAAUCAUCGAAUCUUUGAACGCACAUUGCGCCCCUUGGUAUUCCAGGGGGCAUGCCUGUUUGAGCGUCAUUUCCUUCUCAAACAUUCUGUUUGGUAGUGAGUGAUACUCUUUGGAGUUAACUUGAAAUUGCUGGCCUUUUCAUUGGAUGUUUUUUUUCCAAAGAGAGGUUUCUCUGCGUGCUUGAGGUAUAAUGCAAGUACGGUCGUUUUAGGUUUUACCAACUGCGGCUAAUCUUUUUUUAUACUGAGCGUAUUGGAACGUUAUCGAUAAGAAGAGAGCGUCUAGGCGAACAAUGUUCUUAAAGUUUGACCUCAAAUCAGGUAGGAGUACCCGCUGAACUUAAGCAUAUCAAU
RNAcentral lists this ribosomal RNA (1132 nucleotides) under uncultured eukaryote. RNAcentral describes it as "eukaryotic LSU rRNA". The stretch from base 694 to 847 matches the Rfam family "5.8S ribosomal RNA". The record is from RNAcentral.